GUUUCUCCGUCGGGAUGGGAUUUUCCUGUUCCGUGCCUUCCUCUCGUCAUGCACUUUGGAACUGCUGCCUUGAAGAAGCACAGAAGAAUCGUUGGGGGUUAACUGUCCCUGAGCUGAUGAAAAGCUCUGCUGCCACCUUGGCGCCACAGGAAGUAACCGGAGGUCAUCACAAUAACUGCAGCUGUAGACUGAACUUUGAACAGUGA
This is a long non-coding RNA of Chiloscyllium plagiosum (whitespotted bambooshark), 206 nucleotides long. RefSeq lists it as uncharacterized. Lineage: Eukaryota; Metazoa; Chordata; Chondrichthyes; Orectolobiformes; Hemiscylliidae. The record is from RefSeq and is a predicted model, not a curated record.